UAGAGGNCAAGAGAGGAAAGAAGNNCUGCCGGUGGAAGGGUGAAAUCUGUGGAUAUCGGCAGGAAUACCAGUAGCGAAGGCGACUUUCUGGCUUGUCUCUGACGCUGAGGGACGAAAGCUAGGGGAGCAAACAGGAUUAGAUACCCUGGUAGUCCUAGCUGUAAACGAUGGGCACUGGGUGUUUCUGCUUUUAGCGGAAGCGCCGAAGUUAACGCGUUAAGUGCCCCACCUGGGGACUACGGCCGCAAGGCUAAAACUCAAAGGAAUUGACGGGGACCUGCACAAGCGGUGGAACACGUGGUUUAAUUCGAUGCUACGCGAGGAACCUUACCAGGGCUUGACAUGCUAGGAGUAUUCCGGUGGAAACGCUGGAAGACCGUAUCCAAUCGGAGCCUAGUACAGGUGCUGCAUGGUUGUCGUCAGCUCGUGCCGUGAGGUGUCGCCUUAAGUGGCUCAACGAGCGCAACCCUCGCCUAUAGUUGCUAUUUUUAAGCUUAGCUUAGGAAGCACUCUAUAGGGACUGCCCACGUUAAGUGGGAGGAAGGGGGGGAUGACGUCAAAUCCGCAUGGCCCUUAUGUCCUGGGCUACACACGUGUUACAAUGGCGUGUACAAUGGGAGGCUAAGUCGCAAGAUGGAGCAAAUCCCUUAAAGCAUGCCGUAGUACAGAUUGAAGGCUGCAAUCCGCCUUCAUGAAGUUGGAAUCGCUAGUAAUCGCGUAUCAGCUAUGGC
This 731-nucleotide ribosomal RNA is filed under the name uncultured bacterium. RNAcentral's name for it is "bacterial SSU rRNA". It matches the Rfam family "Bacterial small subunit ribosomal RNA", at positions 642 to 1358 of the family's 1533-position model. The record is from RNAcentral.